This 307-nucleotide long non-coding RNA is filed under the name Amborella trichopoda. RNAcentral describes it as "long non-coding RNA (ATRI_LNC004001)". The record is from RNAcentral. Lineage: Eukaryota; Viridiplantae; Streptophyta; Magnoliopsida; Amborellales; Amborellaceae.
GCUUCGCAAUUGUUGUAAGAGGGUGAGCUGCCCAGGUGUGUCCCACGAACCCCAAACGGCAAGGUGAGCGUCCUGAUGCACCCCAGCCAUGAAAAUUUCUCUCAUUGUUGGUGCCUAUCCAAGCCCAAGAGAGCCCGCGCAUGCGUACCCAUAGGUGCCCAACACGCAUGAAUCCCCGUGGUUGUUUGAGAGAGGGUUUUCUCCCCCACGCACGCACUUUCCGCUCGUGUGAGGACCGAAGCAAAAACAAGGCCCCGACCAACUGGUGAAACCAUUGGGGACACAUCACCCUGUCGUUGGCUUGGAC